RNAcentral lists this long non-coding RNA (29664 nucleotides) under Xyrichtys novacula (pearly razorfish). The record is from RNAcentral. Lineage: Eukaryota; Metazoa; Chordata; Actinopteri; Labriformes; Labridae.
UGAGUUUGUUUUGACGUUAUGAAGAGCAAAAACUCGGUCCAUCUUGUCAGAAGGCCAAGAAGACAGUGGAAAGCACUUGUUGGAUUUCUUAUACUUGAGAGGUACUGAUGCCAGCUUGGAUGGUGAGUUUAUUUGCAUCUCUGAGCAAAUAUUUUGUACUUGCAGUAUGGUCCUGCUGUCUGCAUGUGCUUCUGUGCAUGUUUGUGCAUGUGUUCAUUUGGAUUUGAGUGCUUAAUUGGAUUUAUGAUGCACCGCUGAGCGAAACGGCGCCAUCUCCGCGGCUGACGUCUACGUCAGUGCUGGGUUUGGACCCAUUUCCCUCUCACAGCCCAUCUGUACCUCUCAUCCUCUCCAAAAGCCAUUAUAAUCCCACCAAUCCCACAGCCUCUCACCAUGACUGCCUACUCUCUGGCAGCCCUGCCCUCCACAUUAGGAUUUGGAAGCGGGCUGGAGGCUCCUUUUCCCCCCAUUACCAUCUUUGAGAGAGCUGAUUCUCUGCUGUCAGCAUGCCGUCUUCUCGUCUCUGUUGGUAAAUGCAUUAGCUGUUCAGAUGCUAGGGCAGAGGGUGCUAGCUUCAGGGAGAUGGGUGGUAAUUCAGUCACAAGCCAUACCGGAAGAGGAUGUUUUUAUUGGUUCUGGGGGAGCUCUCUUAGCUUUUGUCCUCACUCAUGCACUAUUCUUUAAAAAAGCAUUUUAAGUGAAGAAAAAUGACGGAUGGUUUUUUUUUGUAAAAUAUGAUCUCACAGCCGAGACUGAAGAGCAGGAAGGGAAAACUCAAACUAAAGUGAUGGAGGAAAAAUUAAUCUCUUUCUUAUUCUAAAGAAAUCUCUUUUUUUUUCAUAUCCCUGACCAGAUGUGGGGAGUCACAGGUCACAAAUGUCUAAAUGUUGCAUACUUAGUUCAUUUUGGAGAAUAACUAGAACUCCAGUUCCACAAUCGAUGGGAUGGUGUUAGGUCACAGCUGACCUAUUAUCCGAGGUUUCGCCUCAAGCCAGCAGCCUGGGUUUGAUUUCAGCCUGUAGCUCCUUUUUUUAUAAGUGACUCCCUGCUCUCUAUCCCUGUUUCCUGCCCUGUCCACUAUCUUUACUUCGUUAAAUGAGGUCAAAAAAAUAAGAAUAGAAAAACUGAAAAAUGAUCCACCAAAUGUUUUCAGGGAGGCCAGUUUAGCACCAACUUUUCUACUCCAGAGUCAUGCUGUAGUAAUUCAAGCUGAAUUUGGUUUGGUGAGAUAUCUAAGGUCUCCCUUACCCAGGAUUUCCAUUGCAUCUGGAACAACUCUGGAGUGGAGCGAUUUUCUGCCAAUUCCUAUCAGAUCCGUUUGUGAGACGCAUUUCAUGGUGGACGACGGACAGCGGGAAUCACAAGAACUCGCGUAUUCACAUGCAAUCGCGCGAUAACAACCUGUCUUUAGCCACAUAGGCUAACCAUUCAAGCAGUAGAUCGUGUCCGUCUAGAAGAGGAAAUCUACUUCUAGACUUAUAAAAUCAGCAUCCUCUCAUCCACGGUGUCAUCCGGAUGAAAUACUGUCUAGAAACCUUUCACUUGUUCGUCUCCGCCCGUUUGCAUGGUGUGAAAUACAAUCUGCCUGAAACACGGAGUGUUUUAUUUUGAAAAGACGCUGGAUGAUUUAUUUUGUGUCUGUGCCCGACUUCCUUUCCAGCACGGGUUAAUCUGUGCUGAAUUUAUCCGGCAUGCUCCAGCGUCCAGAAAAAAUAGAACUCUUGCGAUCAGCUGUGGAGUCUGUCGAUCCACAGCAGAACGGAAGCCGGUGGAAAUUGACACAUUAACUUAAAUGGUUUUAAUCAGCUACGAUCAGCGGAUACAGCCUUUUUGUAGCUGUUCCAAAUGCUGUGUAAAUUGCUGGUUAAAGCACAUGUUGAUUGAUGUGCUGACCUGUCUAUAUAUCAUUCAGCAAUAAUGGUGCUUUCCCAGAUGAGUAAGCUACCAAUGCCAUGGGUACUUCUGUAUAAAUGGCACUUUUUUCAUCCCAGAUGCUGACUUUUGAACUUUGCGCUGUUAAAAACACAGACGGUCUCCUCUUUUUUAGAGUGGAGGGCGUAGGGUUCAUGAUUUCCAAAAGAAAUAGUCAGACUUUGAUUUUUCAGACCACAGGACAGUUUUUCACUUCCCCACAGUGAUUUCCACUUCAGAGCCAUCCCUGUGGGCUGAAAGGUCAAGGCCGUGCAUUAUUUGGUCUUGGUCCUGUUCUACUAAGACUUCUCCAGAGUCUCUGAAUGUUUUGAAAAUAUAAUGUACUGUCUGUUUGUUCUGCAUAUAUGUUGUCAGCCACUUGUCUUGAUCAGUCUUGAAUUACUUAAUAAAAAAAACAAACAAACAAAAAAAGAAAAUAUAAUCUACUGUGACGAUGAAAUCCCUAUAUCCUGUACAGAUUACACCCAGAGACAUAAUUCUGAAAUAGUUACACUGUUUGUUCUCACAGUCUCUCAAAGCGAGGUAAACCUCUUUCCAUCUUUAUUUGUGAGAGAUUGAGCCUCUCAGGAAAGCCUUUGUAAACCCCAUUAAGUUACUAACCUGUUGCAAAUUAACCUCAUUAGACUGGGAGGUGUUUUAUUCAGCAUUACGCAACUUUUCUUGUUGUUGAAUCAUGCUGCUGACAUCAAAUUUAGUACAAACAUGUUUUUCACUAAACUAUCAAAUUUCACUCUUUCAACAUUUCAUAUGUCUUUUCACUUUUUAAAUACACAGCUGCUUUUAUCUGUGUCCAAGCUUUGGGAAUUUUAGUUUGUAUUACUCAUGCUUAUUUUGACGCACAUCAUUUCUACUUGAAUUUGCUUGCUGUCUUCUUAUCCUUGGUCUGGCUCACUGGCAGAUCUGUGUUUACUCGAGAAUAAUAGAUUAAGCCGCAGCUGUAGAUUCAGAAGAGCACCACUGUUUGUGUGUGUUUUUCCUUUUGUUGGAGUUUGGCUUUUACAAAGGGCUGGAGGAUCAUACUAACAGUGCACAGCUCGGUCCUGACGAGAACUGCCUGUGAAAGCUGGUCUGGGGUCAGGCAUAACGGCGGCACACAGAACUGAGCUCCCACUGUGCAGCCGCUCUGUUGGUUCCUCUAUUUCCAUACCAAACAGUUGACCAUUGAUUAUCCAAAGCCUACAACAGAAUCUGGUUUCAAGUUGACUGAAAGUUAUGUCGGAAUAUUUGACUUUUUUUUUUAGCGUUUUGUAGUGGAUUAGAGUCAAAGGUGAGGGUCAAAGGUUAAGGUUCAGGGCAUGGUUUGUUUUUAAAUUCACAGAUCAACAAAUAGUGCAGUCUAAUUUUUUGAAACUCUACACUGAUAUUUUCCUCCACCUGACCGGAUUUUUCUUCAACCCUUUAGAUCUGUAUGGUUUGCAUCAAGGGGGGCGCCCAGCAAAUUUCACCCUGGUGGUAAACAACCACGAGCCACACUGCUGAAGAGCUUCUUCUGUGUGCACUUCUGCACUACAGAUAAACUUAAAAUUCAAAAUCUGAAGUUUUAUUCCCUUAGCUGAAGCACAGAGCCGAGCAGUAGACCUCUCCGGCUGCAAACCAUCUUGUAGGAGGACAAGCUGCCUGUGGGAUUACAAAGCCUACUCGUGCUUGUGCAAUCAGCACCUCAGCAACUUUAACACAAUAUUAACCUUAUCCAAAAAGUGUAAGACUGUUACAGGAGCGCCAUGACUACUGCAGUUUAUAAAAUGAAUAGCUUUCCUAAAAAAAGGACACCAUGCUUUGUAUAAAUCCCAACUUGAUACAACAAAUUGCCUCUAAUAAUUAUAAUCACAUAAAUAUUUUACUCAUGUUUUGAUUUGCAUCUCUAGCAAAUGUGAUUAAAGCAUGUUUCAAAGUGAACCAGAAUAAGAACAAAAACGCAGAAAAUUGGGCAUUGCAGUGCGGAUCCUCUGUUUUGAAAACAAAUUAGAAAAUGUCACAAAAAGGUUUUUGUUCAAUUUAAAAUUGGUGAAUUUCUUUUGCAGAAAAGUGAUCGCGUCUUUUUAAGUUUAAUGCUACUUUGAAAAUAUAGAGUGCAAUGAAGCAAUCUAGAGACAAAUGUCACAAAGUGAUGCAAUUUUUUAAAGUUUUACUGUUUUGUAGAACACCAUGUUAUACACAGUGCAGUAAAUAACAGAACAGAUUGGUUUGAUAGGGGUGAUGUUUUUAUUAGCGUGAUUUAACUGACCGAAAGGGAGGGUAAAUAAAUGCUCAUGACCUUGUUGGUAUAUCAGAAGGUCGAACAUGGUCCUUUUACUAAUUACUAUGAACAUUUGUCUUUAUCCAAAUGGGAGAAACAGUUUGGGAACCACUGCCAGACAUGAUUAUCAUGUCCGUGGAGAUUAUAUUUAUCAUCAUCACGUUAAUAUUCAGCAUGUUAAACAACCCAGUGAGUUAUGUUGCAGUAGAAAAUAAAUGAUGUAGGAAAAAACUAAUUUGUUUUGUUUUUGUCAUACGAUAAGUCUAGGUUUUUUUAUUUUUACAAACAGUAGUUGUUGUUUGGAAGUAUGAUCAUAAAUCAUUGAUCAUAUCUCCAAACAUUGAUCACUUUGAAUGUUCAUACCUUGUCUUGAUGAUGUAAAUAUGCACACGAUUAAAAUCAGAAGCUUUCAAAGAGCUGUGAAGCAUUAAACUUUAAAUUCUGUCUAUAGCUUUUUUUCAUAUUUACCUAGCAAAACCCCAGAUGUAGAGUUUUUCCAUUAAAAACAACACUUCAACACAAAAUGCAAUAAUCCAGCAUCAGCCGUGAGCAUUAACACACAACUGUCUUUUUAAAAAUACAAGAACCUUUCUCAUUCACUGACUUCUUUUCACUGCCAAACUUUACCAGCUGAGACCCAAACACAAGCACAUAUACUCAUCAUAAAAAUCUGUCCAGCUCUGUGUAAUAGAUAACCUUUAUUUGAAUUGGUAAGUCAUAGAGAGCCACCAAGGAGACUGUUUCAUAAUCCUUUGAAAACACCAGACCUUGGGCCUUAUUUAUCAACCAUGUGUAUGCACAAAUGUGUGUGUGAUGAGGGUCAAAAGUUAAGGUUAACAUUCCCACGCAAAGUCUGGAAUUUAUCAACCUGUACUUGUUCUCAGCAAUGUGUGUAAAUUUAAGCACAACUCUGAGCAUGCUUACACACAAAACCUAGUGGUAGAGCAGUGAAACUACAAUCAGAACCCAUUAAAGGAGUCACAGCAUUCAGCAAUCUCAAACUUCACAUGUUCUCCAUUGCCUCUAUACAAAAUUUGUCAAUUAGUUAUUUAGCAGACAUUUUGAAUGAUUGGUGUAACACGCUAUAAAAUCAGCUGUGACAGGACAACCUCAAAAGAAGUUUUACAAGUACAAAUACAAGUAUCACGGCUUAUUUUGUGCUAUUAGAGGACUCAGAGAACCGUAUGCUCUGCAGGGAGCGCGUUUUCAAAGAGCGUGCUGAUCUGUUCAGUGAGAACACAGAGUGGCGUCUCAGCAGGUACCGCUUCCCCAAAAAUAUUUGAAUGGAUUUAUGCCGUGAUUAACAACCUGUGUUGGAGUGAGAGACAAAAACGCACCAAAGCCGUCCCAGUGCAGAUCCAGCUCCUGUCCACCCUAACCGGAACAUUUCGGCGUGAGAUUAGAAACAUACUGCAUCUCGCAGCCAACGCUAAGCAGAAUCAUGCCGGCAGAGAUGGAUGCAAUGAUUUCUCUGGCCUCAAUUUACAUCCAGUUCCCAAACACACAUCACCAACAAGCCGAAAUAAAACGAGAAUUUCACGCCAUCGCCGGGUUCCCAAACAUAAUUGGGAAUCCACCCACAUCAUGAUAACAGCACCUUCACACAAUAAAUGCAGUUUUGUCAACAGGAGAGGAUUUCAUUCAAUCGAUGCACAAAUAAUCUGCGAUGCACAUAUGUAUGUGUUAAACGCUGUUGCCUGGUGGCCUGAAGGAACGCAUGACUCAUUCAUUCUGUAGAAGAGCUCUGUGAGUGUGCACCUCCAUGAUUUUGGCGAGGGGUAAAAAAUCAAUUCACGCAUUUUUAAAGGGAUUGUUGAUACCAUAAAUGGUCAGUUGGAGGGGUUUAUGAAUGCACAUGACCCUAACCAUGCACGAGCAUGGUGGUAAAGACCAGGUGGGAUUUAUCAUCACCGAUUACUUACGAGUGUGCGUAUGACCCAUGUCCGCAUGUUUGAUAAAUACAGAUUUUUUUUGUUCCUACACACAUUCUAAAUUUCAUCCCAACGCCAGAAUUUAGAACCUUUUCUACGCACAGUUGAUAAAUGAGGCCCCAGAACUUUACCUCAAUUGUUGGUUACUUUGUCAAACUCUGCUCUUGUUUCAGCAUUAAGUGAUCUUCUAUUUAACGGUCAAAUCUUUUUUUUAGCACCAUACAGGAUCAAUCCAGCUCUCUCUGAAAUUAGUAAGGACCCAGGAGAAGCAAAAAGGUUAUUUCUAGUGUAAACAGUAUUUCGAAGGUUCAGUAACAUGGCCAAUAUUUCUUGACAUUUUACACCAUGUCUGUGUCCAGUUCGAGAGACGUGUGCUGCUUUCCUCCGAUGAUGAGCAGAUAUUAUUAUGUAUCGAUUACAUUUCUUUCUUCUGACAAAUUCCUCUUUGUCUCUCAGCAGCUGCUCUCUCUGUCAUGAAAUCAUGGUAAGCUCAGGAAGAGCAGUGACUGUAUUGAUUUAUGUCUCAUAGGUAUAAUACCAGAUUGGAUUUGGUUGAUCUUAACGAGAUCUUUCUUCAGACUUCACCAGUGUUGCCAACCGGGAAGUCUUUGAUGGCAUCUGGUUGAUUAUUCACCGGUGUAUUUCACCUAGAUCACAUAUGUCAGAGUCAAGGCCCGCGGGCCACAUCCGGCCCGCGAGAAGGUUUUUUACGGCCCCUGGGAUGAUCUUGAUUUAUUAUUAGAACCGGCCCGCAGACCGCAGCAAGCCGGCAGCCCGCAGAUCUUUUACACGCACCAAUACUACAUUUCCCACAAUGCAACGGUGACGCACCGAGCAGUAGGCUGCUUCAUUUCAAUAUUUAUUAGCACAGCAGUCGUCAGCAUAACAGUAAAAUUAACUUUCAGAUACCCAUCAAAAAUGGCAAAACGGAAGGUGGACACUGAGAACCGGGGGUUUCAAACAAGGUGGGAGUCGGAGUAUAUAUUCACGGAGGUAGCUGGAAAACCUGUGUGUCUUCUGUGUGGAGAAAGUGUGGCGGUACUGCAAGAGUAUAAUCUGAGACGACAUUAUGAAACGAAACACGCGGAUUUUUGUACUUUAUUUUAUUGUAUUUCAAUCCAAUUAUAUUUUAAAAAUAUUUCAGUUGAGUGGAUGAUAGAAAAUUGCUAUUAUUAUUUUUUUCUUUGAAGUAAAUUUAGCCCACUUUUGCUAAAAUAGAAAAUAUAGGCUACUGAUGGUGCCUUGAAUAAUACCGGUUUCUUUCAUUUAAUGUUCAUGUUAUGGGGAUUUUUAUAUAAAGGAAAUUUGUCUUUUGUGUCUGUUGAAAAUUAAAGAUUACUGACAGAGCCAUAAGAAAAUAUUGCUUUAUUUAUCUGAUCAUAUUGGAAUAUAUUUGUUAGGUUUUCAGUAGGUUCAAUUAGGUUCACUAGACUAUAUGCGUCAUUUAAAAAAUUUUCAAUGAACAUUCGAUCAGUCCGGCCCUCGGCUUGUAGCUAAAUUUUUUAUUUGGCCCUCCGUCCAUUUGACUUUGACACCCCUGACCUAGAUUAAACAGCUAAAAACAAGACCCUGUGACACAUUAAAAAGUAGAAAAAAAAAACAAUUUCUGUGAGAAUAGUUUGUGUGUCCAGCUUAACAAUGUAACUUUACUUUAAUGCAUAAAUGUGAUACUGUUGUUAUAGGUGAUAUCCUUUCACUGCAAUGUAUACAAUGAUAAGUAAAAAGCAUGUACUCUCUGAGUCUCUUUGUAUGGGUAAGCAUUACUAUCGGCAAUAAAUCAACAGAAAAUAUCCAAUGGAUACUCAUGAAUUUAAAAUGUAUGAAGAUUUGAGCCACAGGAUUAUAAAACAAAGCAAGUAACAGCAGGAGAACAGAGCAGCGAAAGACCAACAACAAAGAAAGAAAAUAUGUGUGAUGAAAUAUGCAAAUGAUGCAAUCUGUGCACCAAACAAAAAAGACAAAUUACAAGAUAUUUAGAUCUAAAGCACACUCUGUUAGUUUUUAACUGAAAAAUAAGCAGCCUGUUCCCCAGUUUGUUUGGACUUUCAUGACUCUGACAUAUCAGACUAAUUAGAGACUGAAUAUGAGAAGCACUUUGGGUGAUAAAUGUUCAGUAGCUCUGCGUCUGAGAGAGAAAUUAUUUUACAGUUAGAUACUCAUUACCACCAAGGCCAGGGCGUUUACGUAUAACCGCCGCUUUCUAAACAAUGCACAAAAAAAAAGUGACAAAUCCUGCAUGAGGUGCUGUUCCUGGGACACAGACUCUACGUUUUAAAGCCUUCUCAAUAAAAGGUUGAGCAAAAAGAGCAUAGUGGUGCAUUUGUAAGCAGUUUAUUCACGAAUUCGUGCAAGAAGGGUUUUCCUCACGAAGAGAGAGAGAGGGGGGAAAAAAUACAAUCAGUUAAAAUGUUAAAUUAGAUGACUGGACUUCCUGAAUGAGGCCACUUCACAGUUAGACUUCAACUGAUCCUAAUUGUCUUAAAUGUUUACUCCCCGAGCAAUUUAUUUUCCCUUUUUGUGUUCGGCAUUAUGAAUGAGCGACUAAUUAAUACAGUUGUGUGACUAUUAUUUCAUCUCUGCUUGUGGUCUGAAUGAAAAGAAUAUUUUCAACCUGUGGUGGAAGUAUAAUGCCAAAAAUCUGCCAAAAUUGCCUGAAAACUUUUCUUUUCAUAGAUUUUGACUCUCCGGGGGGUUUCGCUUUAUGGAUUUCUGUUUGCUAAAAGGUACCUAACCAAUUUUUUCCAUUUUGAGUUGAUCCACUUGAGAGGCUAUUUUUCCUCCCACUCCAAGUUCCCAAAACACUUUUUAAAAUGUCAGUUUUUUCAUGAUUACAUUAAAUGCACACCCUUGUGUAUAAACUCCUACUUAUUUCUCUGCCUCUAUCUCUCUCGCUGCCUCAGUGAUCGGUACUUUUGGAGUUUAUUGGUUUGACUUUUUAUCGUUUUAAAAUCCGUAAUGUUUCCUGUGCCUGGCAAAACACAGAUGUAAAGGCAGAAUCUGACAAAGAAAAACUGUAGAUUUUAUCUGUAUAAAUGAAAACGCUCUGUGUGAGUUGUGGUGUGAAGUAAAAAGGGAGUAUUGACAGAGCAUGAGAGUAGCCAUCAGACCCAACUACACUGUCACUUUAGACUUGACUUGUAGUCGACCUUCAGAGACUUCAGGGUUCAGGCUGACUCGGACUCAAGUUUUAGGACUCGUAAACAAUCUUAUUCUUAAAAAUAUUUUUUUCUCAAUAGUGGACAGAAAUAUAAAAAGGAGUCUUACACACAGACCAUGACCAGAAAGCUCACCUAAGCAUAGCUACGACAAUUUUAGUCAUUUUUCGUCUGUAUGAGGCCACUAUGAACAAUCACUAGCUUCGUUUACAUGGAGCCAAAUAUUCCGAAUAUAAUCGGAUUAGAAGCCCAAUCAGAAUGAAAAUGCUCCAUAUAAACACCUCAUUCGGAAUAAACAGGCCCAUUCCGAAUGGAAUUUCAUUCCGAUUCACAGGGGUAGAAUUUUCCUUUUCCCAUUCCGAUUAAAAGCAAAAUCCUGUCAUGUAAACGGUGAAUCGGAAAGUUGUCAGGCUGGGUUCUGUCUGCGCAUGCUCUGUCCUGAUGUAAACAAGCAGUGACGUAUGACUCACAUGGAAACAUGAUGGCGGCUUCCAAGCAGAGCACGAUGCACUGGUCUGUGUCGGAGAUCACGUGAUCAAUCAAUCACGUGAUGUUUGAAGGUAUCACGUGUCUGUAAAUAGCUGUUCCGAUUGAAUGCCGUGGCACAUGUAAACACCAGAUCAGAAUAGAUCGCUUCCAUGUAAACAGUUCGCCUGGGAGCUUCAAUCGGAAUGAUUAUAAUCCGAAUGAGAAAAAAGUCUGCAUGUAAACGUGGCUAAUGAGUCAACAGUAUCAGGGGCAGAUCCAAGGUUUAUCUGGGGUGCCCCAGCCCCAGAGGUGCCUCACCCCUAAAACUUCAAACUUGAUUAUGCACCUCAAAUCCUAAACUAUGAUUUUCCUUACGGUAGAUGGAGCAUGUUACUAUAAACUAUUUUGGCUAUUGACUGUGACUUAAAGCGCUGUUGCUACAUGUUGCUACCAUGUUGUGUUAAGUUUUAGCUCACUUAUUGUAAUAUUUACCAUGGUAACUUUGUCAAUUUGACAUAAUGUGAAAUAAAUAAGGAAGUCCUCCACAUUCUGUACAUUUAAGAUAUUUUCCUGAUGUUGAGGUUUUACUCAUCCACUAGAUGAUAAGACACCCUUCAGGUGACAAAACUUGGUUACACUGUUAAGUCAGACAUAGAGUUCAGUAAAAUCAAAGUAAAAACAAAAUCAGGAAACCGAUUUCAUAGGGCCUUCUUCUGCAGAUUUGUACCUAUUUGUUAUAUGUCUUGCAACAGCUUGGAGGGGUGUUGUUGUGCUGCCUUAAAUGUAGUCUCUUUGUUUUUUCAACAGAUUCUGUCUAAAAAGGGCCUGGAUUUAAGAAUAGCAAGUGUCCCUGUUUUGUAUUAUUGUUUGCAGCUCAGGUGAUAUUUACCAUUUAAGCAUCAGCAGGAAACAGACUCCUGCUUAGUUGUGUGUGUGUGUUUGCAUGAAAAAAGUCCUUUUGGAGGUGUCCUGCUUUUACCUUCCAUAAAAAGUCUGACAACAACGUGUUUCUCUGUAAAUACAUACUGUAAAAUUGCAUGCAACGGCAGCUAACAGUCUGAAAAUCAUGUCUGUUUAUUUGCAUGUUGUAGAUCAGUGUUAAAGUUUUUUAAUUUCAGGGGGUUCAUCAGAAUUGAUCAGUCUAAUCUCCUCUCAACAACCAGGUAGGUUUGCUCUCCAUAUGAGGGCCUGACCUGAAAAGCUCUUUUUUCCCCUUAUUUUCUGUUUAAUUGGAUUUAUGCUAAAUUAAAACCUAUUAAUUUGGUUAUAAAUCAUGAGAAAAUCUCUUUCUUCCUCACUUCAAUAGCCCUCCAGUAAGCCAGAGUGGAACUAUCAAGCUCAAAUGUGUUCCUCUAGAUUUAUUUUGCAAAUCAAGAAGAACAAAUUUGGCUUCGGUUUUUAUCUGGAUAAAACUGUCAAGCUAUGAACAAUGCGCCGCAUGAGCAAGAUGUCUUAGCUCAAGAUUAUCCAUGGCUUACUGCUGUCUUUCACUGGAAUAUGAGGUAUAAGUCCAAAGUUGCAGAGGAUCAGUAGAUUCAUUUUAAAGGUGCGAAGUUAUAUGGAGCGUAGGGUCAUUUCGAGUUUGCCAGUGAAUCUAAGAAACCAAGGACAGCAGCGUGCUGAUGAUCCUGAGAAUUCAAUCUGUUCAGUUACAACCUGAGUGAAUUCAGUCUGAACUCUGCUACACAGUGAUGCUUUUGCAAUGGGGAUUUAUGUUUGGUUAAAGCUUCUGUACACCCAGGCCACUACGAGAAGGGACUUUUCAUUGCCACAUAUGCAUUCAGAUGGAUUUAAGUCAAGGGAGUAUUGAUCUGAAUAGCCUCUCUGAGAAGAAAUGAUCAUUUUUAACUUGGAAUAUGACAUGACUGCUAGAUUUUAUGUUGGCAGAAGCUAACAGGGAAUAUAUGAAGAUUUAUGCUACACACCAGUCAGUUUAACCCCAUGUUGACCAGUCUGAAAGUUGAUGUAAAGGGUGAUCAAAAGGCAGGUCCUCGACACCCACUGUCACUGGACAGCGGUAGAACAUGUUCAAGAGCUCAAGGCAAACAACUAGGCUUCAUUAACAGUAACAAAAUUCAGAUUGACACCCGAACGUCAUUAUUUUUAUUUGCACUCUAUGGGAGAUCAGUGUGAGUCGUGUCCCUGAUCAGAUCUACACACAUUACACUUCUGCCCUAUCAACAAAAUCACAAAAACAAAGACAAGAGGACUUAGGCAAAGACUGAACCAAAGCAUCAAACCGUGGAGGGUUUUUCUUAUUCUCUGUUCUAUAUUUUGACACAUUUACAUCUAGUAAAAGUGUUGACACUGAAUACUGGUAAAGUUUCAACGUAAUAGACGCAUAUUUUGUCCUCAGAGUGAAAUCUGCAGGCUGCCCUGAACUCCAGGUAUCACAUGUUUUUUAUUUAUCUUUGAGAUUAUCAAAAUGUUCAUGUGCCCCAGACAUGAUAUUUUUUUCGUAGGAUGGUCGGGUAAGGUCCUGCCUCCUUCGCCUCUGAUUGGCUAGAAAAGCUGGGCUCCAAUUGGUUAUUCCUUAUGGCUGUGAAACGUCAUCGCACGCUCAAGCCGAAUGCGGGUUGUUGGUUCUGUACAGCGAACAGAAUGACACAUUAUCGCAAUUCUGAAUCUCCUUACCCUAACCCGACAGACAAUGACGUUUCACAGCCAUAAAGAAUAACCAAUCGGAGCCCAGCACUUCUAGCCAAUCAGAGGCGAAGAAGGCGGGACCUUCCCUUACCAUUCUAAAAAAAAAAAAAAUGUGUCUCAGACACAAAAAGGACCCACCCACUUUUUCAUGGUUUCAGAGGGACAACCAAUGAGAUGAAAGCUGUUUUUUAGAGAUUGGAGCCUAAAAAGAUAGUACCUUAAAUUUCCAGAACCUGAAUAUAAACUUUCUUGCAUGCAGUACAAGUAGAUGGUAAAAAGGACUGUGUUUUUAUCACUCCUUGUCUUGCCUUCUGACCACUCAAAGAGCUCUACAUUAUAUUGCCAAAUUCAUCCAUUUACACCACAUCUACACACUGAUGGUCGAGGCUUCUGUCAAUAGAGCUCAUCAGUCUCUGACUAAUCCCAUUCACACACCACUGGGCACAGCCAGUGUGGCAGGUGGGGUCAAGUGUCCUACCCAAGGACACUUCUGCAUGUGGAGCCAAGGACCUGCCCCCCCAAACAUGGAGCCAAGUCGCCCCUUAAGUGUCAGUGUCAUUUUCAGCCAGAAGCAGUUGUAAUUUUUAUGCCUCUUGUCCACAGUGGGAAAAUUAGGUGAAAUUGUGCCUUCAUUAGUCACUAUGUGUGAGAUGGUUAAGCACAGUGGUGUUGUCAGAUGGAGUAGUCGCACAUUUCUAAAUUGAGAAACCAGUAAGUGUCUGAGUUACUUGACUCUGUGGGAGGCCAAACAAACCCUGAUGAUACGGCUAAUAAAUGCCUAAAUGAGGCCAUUUGUCAUGUCUUCAUGUGCCUUUAGUAACUGUUUUAUUUGCAUGUUGAAAGUAUCACGCUGCAUUUUCUUGUUAAAUAGUCAUUUGAAUAAUUCACUUUGUUAAAAUGUUUUAUUUCUGCGGACACCUGGAGAUGAGUUGUAAACAACACCUUGGGCAAAAUUAAUUUAUUACCCACUCCAACUCCUUUUUGCUCAUUUAUUUUUCAAUCUGAGAUGCUCAUGAUGAAGUUGUAUCAAUCAUUCAAAUGUGUCGACUUAGUUUACACCCCUUAGGCAUGAUAUAAAACAUUCUUCACAGUGAUAUUCAGUUGGCUUAUGGAACAAGAAAAGGAGGGGUCAGAGAAAAUACAAAGUGAACCGACUGCUAUCAGAAAUUGAAUUCAUGAAUAUCAAUAGCAUGGUCCCAGCACAGCUUUGAAGUGGCCUUUCAAAGAGAGAUAUUUGUCUCCGGCUUGUGUUGUAAUCUCAGUGACCCUGAGCGCGCUCGCCUUCAUCCGUUCCUUUCUGCCACAAUGUCACACAGGGACAGUUGUAAAAAAAAGGGAACAUGCACAGCAAUUAAAAACUAAAGGGCCUCUCACAGAGUUCCCCUCCUCUGUAAUUACUGCUGUGUGUGCCCAGACUACAACAUUGUCUUUCAGUAGAGAUUGGUUGUUGUUCUCUAGAGCAGCUUUCUUUUUAUUCCAAAAAUUUCUAAGAACAGUCCCACAAAAACAUGAUGCACACAUUCCGAGUAAUAAAUAAAAGGUUACUGAAGAGUCGUAGGGCUGCAUUUACUAAUAACUUUCCCUAAGAUGGUUACUUAAUGUUCCUGCAGAGCUUUUGGAGCUGGUUUAUUGUAUUGACGAGUGCUCUCAUGAGGCUGAAACUCGAACUCGUACACCAUAGGUUCAAGGCGUUCCAAUGCCUACUAACCGGAAUGAGCAAUGGUCCACUUCUUGUCUAUCAUCCAUGUUUUAGAAUGGCCAUUGGAGAUUUUACAAUACAAUACAAGAACUUCAAUGAUCCCAAAAGGGAAAUUCAUUUGUCUGGACUGGAGUCUUGUGUAUUGAGUCAUCGACUACUUAUAGAAGAAUUAAACAGUCUGAUGGCUGUGGGUACAAAAGAUCUUGAGAAACUUUCUGUCCUCCAGAGAAGUAAGAGGGGUCAAACCCAUCUAAAGGUACGAUCGUCAGAGGCUGUGUCAAUGGUAGGGUGACCAUUUGUCCUCUUUGACCCGGACAUGUCCUCUUUUUUUGGAGGUUGUCCGGCCUUGUCUGAGGGAGUUUAUAAAAUCCUUCAAAUGUCCGAGGUUUUGUAUGGAAGAUUUGAGUUUGUGAUGCGUGGACUUACUGAGUUAGAAGCGUGUAAAAAAAACACUCGACCCGAAAAACUCUCCAAAUUUACCAUGCGCGACUCUGUGACUCCACUUGCGUGUAAUCGUGUCCUCUUUUUUGGUAUUCAGAAUAUGGUCGCCCUAGUCAAUGGAGAUCCGUUGGAUGGUCUUCGAUUCAGAUUAGGACAUUUCACCAGAUAUCGUGAGUAUGACGGUAACAUUUUGUGAACCUUCAUUUACGAAAUUCAACAUCUGCACUCACAUUUAUUACAAUUUAGAUAAUAUUUGCCUCUAUUUAAAAGGAUGACCCGGGAGAGUCAAGAAAUGUAGGGAGAAUAGGGGACGACAAGCACAAAUGCACACGUUCAAGUCCAGACGAGACAGGGAUCGCUAUUCGGACCAAUGUGUUGACAACCCUAUCCUUCAUAUUUAAGACAACUGCUCUGCGAACUGAGCUAAACUAACGCCUUUUUAUUCGUUACACUUCUGCUCAAUCUCAAAACAAAAAAAAGGAGGGUGAGAACCAGAGACUGACCUCAAGUGGAUAUUUGGUGUUCAUUGUCAUCGACUGGGCGCUGAAUCUGAGGUCAAACAUUAACACAGUGACAGACUUGGCUUGGCUUGGUAACUGGCUUGUAAAUCUUUAUGGCCUGUUGGAAACACUCUAGUAAAAAUAUUUCAUUGGAGUUCAUGAUAAUGAGGACAUCAACUUUUUUGUUUUCAAGGGAAUACUUUAUAACACCAUUAUUUUUACCUCAUGACUGUUUGUUGUCUCUUUAAAAAGUGUAUGGCCAGAAAUGAUCUUAUCUGAAAAGCAUUAUUUUGGUACGAAGCAUUUUAACACGUAUUUGGUUCAUUAGGACGUUUGAAGUGUUUUCUAACUAUCUGCCUGUGGGGCUUUAUUUUCAAAGUUUAGGAGGGUGCUCUGACUUUCUUUUUGAGAGUUUAAUGCACUUUUUCAUGAGAUCGUAUUUCAGCACUCUCCGCCAGUGGGGAUUUGUCACAGUUAAUCACAUCAAACUCAUUAAUGUCACAAUGUUGAGACAGGGUUGAAAUUGAUGUCUUAAAAAGUGGCACACCAUCACAAAUUUUUAUCCUAAGGUUGGUGAUUUGAUUUUAUACAUUUAUACACAUGUAUUUGCAUUCAAGACUAGAGGAGAUAUUAAAAAAACAUAGAUAUAAGGGCAAAUGAGGGUUCAGGCUCGCAGAUUAGGAUCAAAUCUAAAAAGGAGCGACUGAAUUUAUUUGGAUGUGUUAUUGAGCAGAAGAAACACAUUAAAUCAAAGUAAUUUUAUUAUCCAUUUACUUCAUUAAACAUCAAUUUUCUGACAAAUUGUGUUCAAUGAUGCUGUUUUAUCAAGAAAUAAAGCGACUGAAUUUCAUUAUUACUUCAUGAAAACUUUGGCAGGAAGAAGCAGGGAGAAGUUUCAAUGAUUUGAUCCGAUAAGUCACUUGACUCAUGAGAAAACACAAGAGUAAACCCACCGCUGUUCUGAACAUGUGGUUUGUUACAAAGGUUGGUGUUUCACAUGUCUUGUCCCGCUGUCAUUAAUUCCAUUUUAAGCCUUCGCAGCCUCUCAAACUCGAGCACAAAGUAUCUGACGUCAAAUCAUGAGCGCACAGACCAAACACUCCAUAUGAAGUAUUCCGGGAGCUCUUAUGUGCUGCUGUUUAUUGUGUUUUUCCACACUUCUGAUCUCAGUACAGUUACCUAAGCUUGGCACACUGCCUGGACAGCAACGUGUCAUUUUGAGUUACAUCCUCAAAAAUCAUAAAACCCCACAAUUUUUCUGCUGUUCGGUCAGGAAAACAAUCUUGAUAAAAAAAAUACAUCAGCAGUUCAUUUUCCAACUUGGAACCCACUCCACAAACUAAACUUGUGUAUCACUUGCCAAUCUCCAGGCUUGUGGGCUGAAUCUCGCCUGCUGUGAAAUUUUAUUUUCUUGACACAAUAUCUGUUCAAGCUGUUUCUCUGAGCUCUCCUCCAGAAUGAAUAAAAUGCAGAAAAUCUCUGCUGAAGUCAGACUAAUCAAAGAGGAGGGACAGUGAGUGUUUAAAGCUGGUGACUCCCGUUUGCCAUUAGGCCCUAAAGUUUAAGUGUGUGACGUUUUACAGCCAUCAGUCAUAACAGGCUAUGCAUAUUCGAUGGGCUUUUAUGGUACCCAGUGUGCUGCUCACGACUACACAGAUGCAGCAGACAGUAUGGAUGAGAGGGCCAGCUCUACCCUGUAAUGUUGGCGUAUUCCCGGUCAGGGGGAGAAGGGUGCUGCCAAAAGUAGGAUUUGAGGGUAAAUCAACUUGGGAAAUCUUAAGGGUCAUAAGCUCUAUUUCGGGUUUAUUAGAGUGUUUUAGGACCAAUUCAUUCUUUUCCAAUUUAUAAAGAACAUUUUGGAGCAGGUUCAUUUGGGAGUAGUGAAGACGCAAUUUCUAAGAUGAGCCGAUUUACCUCAAAAUGAUAGCACACAGCAAAGCAGGGUUUAGCAACGUGAACCACACAUCUUCAUCAUAGACUGUAUACUACACGGCGCAGUAGCACUGUAUGCAUUUGGCGGGAGAGUUGCUGUGAUGACGCUCAGCUCAAAUAGCAUAUGCCCUGGGUGAGCAACGCAAUCUCUGCCCAUAGUCUGUUUCAAGUGUCAAUCAUAGAAAACAUGAACCUUGAACUUUUAAAAUCUGAGCUGUACAGAAAAAAAAGGACUUGAGCACAAACCAGUCUUACAGUAACCACAUGUCAACAUCGCAAGCAGGGGAAAAAAUAUAUAUAUUCUGUGUAAUAAAUUUCUAAAUUUUGUCCACACCCUCAUAAGGAUGGCUGGUGGAGGCGGGAUUUAUGACCUAUACUGCAGCCUGUCACCAGAGGGUGCUGUUCUCUGGAUGGCUUCACCCAGCGAGGAGGCAGACGCUGUCCAUUUUUUAUACAGUCUAUGAUUUUCAUUCAUUGAGUUGUCAGAUAAAAUGAAACUCAGUCCAGUGGAUAUUUUAUAAAUGCUGACAAUUUUAAAACAGGUGAUCUUCUCUGCCUGAAAAGAGUGAAUAAAUCAUUGAAUAACCAGGACUCAGAACAAACGAGAUAAAUUAGGAUGACCAUAUUCUGAAUCCCCAAAAAGAGGACACAACUCCGCAGUGUGGAGUUGUUCGCCAAGCAAAAUUUUGUGGGUUUUUAAGGUCGGGUUGAUUUUUUACGCACUUCUGACUCCGUUAAACACAUAUUCUGAAAAAACAAAAAAAAACAAAAAAAAAAACAGGCGACAGUUCAUGUCACCAGUUUUUACUCAGUAUAGGCAGCUUACUAAAGCAGAUGAUGACUUGCUUAGCAGAGUUGUUUAUUUUGUAGCUUGCAUGUUAACAUCAGAGUGCUGGACUUGUGCAUUUAUCAUCUAUAUGAUGUGGGCUCUGUAAAUUUAAGCGCAGGCUGUGGGUUGCUGAACCAAUCAUGAGAUGUAAAAUAUUGAUUGGGUGGGCAGAACUCACGUUAGGGUGACCACUCUUGCUCAUAGCUGCCACUGACCCUGAAAUAUGAUGCUUUUGUUGUGUUUGUGAAUCCCAAAAUGUGAGUGCAUAUGUAAUCACCACUUCUAAUCUCUUGGAUGAGGAUUUGCAGAAAAUGUACGACACCAAUCAGAGGCCUGAUGGAAACAGCUGAAUGACUUUCUCCUUUCAUCUCCUGCAUUAUACCACAGCUCCUCCCAUCCACUGAGACCACUUGGCAGUACUCACUUGUGGGAACAAAUGUUCCCUGUGAUUCAGAUCAAGGCAUUUUUCAUCCGUCCAGCUGCAAAAGACAAAACACCCUCUGAGCUGGAGUUCAAGUUAAUGAACUCGCAGUAUAAAGGAAAGGUGUGAGGUGAAAAAGUGAGAGCUAGCAGGUCAAGAUGAGACACAGACCUGUGAUUGAAACUUCACUGGGGAGUUUGUCAUCGCAGAAGAAAGACAGAUAUCUCAGCCCGAGACGGCAUAUUCAAUUCCUCGGUUCAGAGAAAGUUCAUGAAAAUGUGUAGGCCCUCUUUCUCAUGUUCUACAUGAGGUUUUCACUGUGCAGCUGCUGUCUUCCUCAAAUCUGCAGUCAAAGCUAAGUCCAGCUGACAUGGUGUGAAGCGUCCUCAUAUCUCUUCUGUCACUUAAAUUGUCUCUGCAGCAAAGCAGUGCUCCACAAACAAACAGCUUUGUCGUUUGUUUUCUUUGAUCUCGACCAUCCAUAACAAGUGAGAAAUUUCAAAUGUGUCCUCGGCCCCGCACUGAUGACUUGCCAUGCUGUGUCACAGAGACAAAAGACUGUAAAACUAUAGCUGGAUGCUUCAGGGGAAGAUUAACCACAAAAUGUUGUAUGAUGUGUGCAUUGUCCGAGUUUAAGUAUCACUAAAGAUGAUAUUUUCAGUUCAAGUUUUCUGAAACUUAUUUUUGCUGCUAGUCUUGUUAGGAAAUCUUGAAUUCUUUGAAAAAUGAGCAUUUGCUUAUAAACUAUUUACUGAGACAGAAAGCCUGUUUGAGAAAUCGUUUAACAAAGGAGGCAAUUUUGAGACCUUUAAUACAGGAACUCACAGGGGGUCUUUAAAAAUUACGGCUUUGCACAAGAUCACCACUAUUCUAUCCAUUUAACAUUCAGUUUGUCCAUCAUGCUGUCACAAUAAUGGACAAAAUUGAUGGUUAGUUUGGAAAAUGAACAUCAGGCCUUUCCAACAGGAGGCCAUAGUUCCAGAACAGCAAGUGAGUGAGUUUACUUGGACUCAAUUAUGCUACUUUUGCAUCUUUUGUUUAUUUUUUGAUAAUAUCCUGAUUGCAGAAACUGGAAUAAGCCCUCACCUCCUCAGUAAAACAAACACGGUGGCCUCAACAAGAGCAUCCCACCAGUCGCAACUGUGUAUCUUCAACUGACGUGGUGGCACAUACAGGCUGACACCAGAUUGAGUUUGAUCCCGUUCCGAUGGUUUUCUUUUUCAUUUUUACUCCUUGAAGUGUUCUAAGUGGUCUAUAAAUUGUGAUCAUGAAGUUUUUACUAAAAAUCACGUUACCCGUGUCAUUUUCAAGGUCUUUUCCUCUGCAGAGCUGCUGUAGCUCAUUAGCAAUUCACCUCUGAGUCGUGGGCGGAGACAGCCCUUCACGUUAGCUUGCAGCCUAACAUUGCCGAUGUAGUAGAAGUGGCAGGUAGAAUAGGAGCUAUUCAGCUCUUGGACACUAAUAUCUUUGAGGCAUGAUGAAAGUUAAUAUAAUUAGCUUUCUUAUGAGCAUUGCAAACUGCUAGCGCAGAAGCUUAUUCGGCGAUUAUCCUCUCCGUUUUUUCAGGGUGUGGCCUGCAUAGUGGGGCUCCGGGGGCGGAGCUUGAGUUUGCUACGUAGGAAAUCUCACAGUAUCUGAAGCUGCCGUUUGGGUCUGACAAAAAUUCACAGCAAUUUGAAUGCAGAAAUACUCAGAAAAUGCAAUUUUGCACCUAGUUUUCUUAUGAUAUGUCCUGUAGCAUCAGAAAAAUGCCACAUGAACAUGUAGAGAACAAGAAAAAAUUGAUUUUCAUCGGAGUGGGUCUUUAAACAUUUGCUGACCCUGUCCUCACCUGCUGCUGGACAUGGGGCAACGCGAUGCUGGUAUAGUCCAGAGUUUACCACAGUGGUGUUACUUUUCUUAUAUUUGAAAAUUGCUGCAGUGAAAACUAAAAUUUCACCAACGCCUGCUUUAAAAGGAUGUAAUAAUUAUAAACCAGAACAGGUCUGAACAUGAAUAACCAGGUUACUCUGUUCGCAUGUAAACCAAGAGAAAGGCUCAUAACCAGGACCAGUUAUAGUUGUGCUACACUGCUCAUGUUCUGAGUGGGCUCUUUUUCUCCUUUUUUCCAUGGUGUCAGAAUAAUUUUGGUUCUAACUCAUCAUCUCCACAUGACUGGAUGUUAAAAAGUCAUGGUGAAAACCACUAUCUGGCCAAACGUGAGCAAAGAUAGUCAAAAGUGCCACGGACCUGAGGAGCACUACAUCUUUCACAUCUUGAACUUUUUUUUAACUUAAUCUCAAAGUCCUUCAGGUCCUGACACAGCGGCGUGUUUUCAAGGUGUCUGUACAAAAAAAUGAAAUAAAAUCAAAAAUAAAAACUCUUUCAGGAUUGUCGUGUACAAGUGGCUCUUUCACUGUAUGAGUGUAUAAGUGUCAUUUCUUUUACACUGCUCGUCAGUUCCCUUGCAAACCUGGUAAACUCACCAACAAUAACAAAUUUGCAGUAAGAAAUGAAAAGAUCUUUCCUUUAAUCUGUUCUCUUACCUCAUAUGUCCAACUUUAGUGCCUCUGCUUCAACAGAAAAUUCUGUUGAGCCUCUGUUCACUCUUCCUCGGACGUGGCAGAGAAGGGAAGACCUCAAGACGGCAAAAAGGGGAGCCUUGAAACAGAUCAUAAGUAUAUGUCAGUUUUUAAACUCUCGUUUAUGAUGAACUGAUUUCAGAGGGUUAGCGUAUGUCACAUUUUUGUGUGUCAAUGGAUACUCUUGAUACACAAGUGUUGGGCAAACACACUGAAAAUGCGUUUUAUUAUUAUUUUUUUUUAACAAUAUGUCUCCUUUCAAAACAUAUCUCUUGGCCACUGGAGAGUUUAAGUGCUUGAAUCUUGUAAUAGAUUGGGCCAUGAAGGAUGCACCCAGCAAAGAGGGACUCAUUUGUUGGCUGCGUUUACGGGGGCCUUGUCACACUGUAGUCAUGCAGUAAGUCUGGAAAUGUGAAUGCAGCCUUGGAGGGAUACAGCUAACCUCUCUCUGGUAAGUGAGUCGUAAGUGAGUUGAUCACUUUUUUUAUUGUUUUGUAUGAGUCCUCAUAAAAGAAAUUACCCUUCUUGGAAGCACAAAUGAAUACCUUGCACUUGCGCAUCAUGUUUUGGUCUUGCAGUCGGCUCUGCAACACCAAUUGCAUGUGUUUUAUCCAACAUCUCUGGAAGAUGGAUGGCACCAUAGUGUCUCAGAGCAACAUUUGGCUGAGGUUUCCAAUUUUGAUGUUGGGGAGUGGAGUCAUAUUUGCUGUAACUUGCAAUUCCUGUUUUGGCCCGAGUAACCAACUUUUAACCAAGGAGCAGUUUGAAGUCAAGGACCUUCAAUGAGCCAUGAGUUGGUGAUUGCCAGAUAAAAAAAAGGAAAAACUGCACACACUGUCCAUUUCUGAGUGUGAGAGGCCAUCCUGUAGAAACUCAACAUAUGGUCAACCAAAUCCACACCACACCAAACACUAUGUUGGUGUUGAACUCUGCAAUUGCCAGUGACCUUGACACCUGGACAAACCUUUGUCUUUCUUAGACAGUAGGCUUGAUUUAGGCUUUACCAAAGGUCAAAGGAAGAUAUUUGGGUUCACAAAUGUCCUCCACAGGGGACAAAUGUAAACUACUGGUAGUCAUGUGGUUAGCUGAUAAAUUAUAUCACAUAUUUCCAUCUGAGAAUAAUUGCAGAUAUGCUUAUAGCCAAAAUGUAAAACCCUCAACCUUGGCCAACUGCGGACCUCACUUUAGGAAUUCCUCUACAAACCUUCAAAUAAAUACUGAGAUCAAUCACAGCCUUAACAGAAAUAACAAAACAGAAAAUAAAUGGAUUUCAAGUCCAAAGGCAUGACUCACUACGCUCACUUUUUCAUGGUUAUUUCUUACAGGUUUUCAAGGAGUCUUUUGUGACUAAAAAAUACACCCUUAUAGCUUGCACUUUUUGCUAGUGUGACCUCCUUGUGUGACUCCUCACAGAGGCAUGCUGUAGCAGGUCGUGCUCACCUCUGUAGCCUUUUCGAAAAUACCAAAUGGCAUGAAGUGUAGAAGGCUUUUGUUGAGUCAUCUCUGAAUGGCAUAACCCAAUAUCAUCUGUACUGCAAAGUUUUUUCAUUUAUGCAUGCGUGAUCCAUGUUUUUUUUUUUUUUCCACAAGCCAACCAAACAACACCAUCCAUGAGUGGAACUUAAAUCAGCAGAAUUGAGCAUUUUGAUGCUGUAUCUGCAAUUGGGUUUGAGAACUCCGUUUAAGACACCCAGAUAAUGCAAUUGGAAUUCGAUUUUCUCUACCAUGUAACCAGCGUAGUCGGAGUAUGAUUGGACAAUGCAUGUGCACGUACGCCAUGCCUCCAUAACCCUGGAGCAAAAACACCAGAGAAGAAGUGGCACUUUUAUUUAAAUAACUUUCAACUCAGAAGCAACUGCAACAUGGCUGAAACAAGAAAGAAUGUCGACUUUUGGAACAAUAAGGAGAGUGCCGUUUUGCUUUCCGUCCUGACAGAAAUGGACAUUUUUAAGAAAAUGGACAGUCGCAAAAUGAAGAACAGAGACAUCUUUAAAAAAGUCAGAAAACAACGCCGCUGAAAAGACCCAUAUUGCCCCCUAGUUUUGGGGAGGAGGACACGUUCAUGUCAAUAAUUUGAUUUUCUCAGCAGCAGUCAAGGAUGAAAGUCCGAUUCUGCGAAAAAAAAAAACAAAUUUUGAGCUUAGUCCGAUGUACACGCACUGACUGAUUGGCCCUGAUAGGUUACUGUCUGUGUAAGAUCUGAUCCAGGAUCAGGUACUGUCCACACAAGUUACAUCCUUUAACACAACGAGGGGCAUCCUACAAAUCUAUUUCACGCAGGACAUCCCAGUUGUACCUCAACAGCAACUUUGUUUGAAACAGAUGGAUAGAUGUAAAACUUCCCUUAGUCCUCUGAUGGCUAUAAAAUGGAAUUUCACACACAUACACACAGUCCGUUUAUUUGAUUUGUAAACAGCUCAACCUGCCAAAGUUGUAAGAGCUGACUGCACAUUUCUGCAGAUGGGUGGGCACAGAAUUCACUAAAUCAGGACUGAUCAAUCUUGCACAUUUUGAAACUCAUUUGGAUGUAAAACUUCUGGCAAACCUUUUUUAUGAAUCUACAAAGCCUGUCUCCCAUUUAGAGAAGUGUCUCCAGGCUGCAAAUCAGUCUGACAUUUAAUAUAAGAGCCUUGGAUCCCUGCAGUGUCUUUAAAAGCGAGCUACUUGUUUCUCUUGAGCAUGCUAGUUUGUCUUUUAUUAGUUGUUGUAUAACAUUAUGUAUUUUAUUGCUUUCAACUGAGAGGAUUUUCUCACUAGAGCUUCUAGAAAAUCUCCUAUCAUGUGUAAAACCUUCAUGUCCACAAACAAAGCAACUUAUCUACAGCAACCAGCAGUGUAAGACUUCUCAUUCUCUUGGUUGUUGCAAAAUGAAAGAAACCCUUUUAAGAGUAAAGAAUACACUCAGAACUUCUCAAACCAACAAAAAAAGCAUCUGUAAAGACUUAGUCGUAGUGAGAGUGACCUUCAGAGAUACACAAAUCACAUUACAACUUCAAAGGCUUGAUCAAGCUUUCAUGAAUCAUUCAUAAGUCCGCGCAAUGCUACAUAAACGAUGCCAGCAGUCGUGCGGCAGUCAUUUGAGGGUGCCAGGCUUAAAUCCAGUCAUACUCUUAAAAUACAUAUGCAUGGCACUUCAAUAAAAUGUGUUAAUGGAUGCAAAGUGCCUACAGCUCUUUCUGCUAGAGUCAAAAAGCUUUAGGCAUCACAGCCUAGAGGAUCUCAUCCAAGGUGAGAUCUAAUUCUCUUCAGUGUCACUGACCCCUGCAUUGAGAUCCCCAAAUAUUGACGUUAGCUUGCAGGGGGCGAUUCUCCUAAUUAAAAAGCAGCGAUGAAACUUCGCUAACCUAAGUAGUUUCUAUGCAUUUUCAUUCCUUUUGGGAAUGAAGAAGCUUCCAGCAAACAGACUAAUUUGAUUGACCUUUGAGUCAUUGAAUCGAUUGGUAACAGAUAUGGAGAAACUUUAUAUCAAACUCGAAGGAGAUGUUUGUGUUUAUUUGCCUCCAGUAAAUUAAAAAGCAGAUUUUCAUGACAUGUUCCUUCUGCUGCAGUGAGAUGAUUUGUGUGCAGUCUGCGGUUUUGUACAACAUUAAUCAGCAGAACACUGGAAGGAUACAAGGCUAGUGUAAAUCUGAUUUCCUUGUUUUCAUUUCAGGGAGCGUGUUCACCUUUAAACUCAAUUACCUUAUCAAAAUGCUUUCUGAGGUUCAUCUUUGUGGAGGCAUCAAUCAGUAACAAACAAGGGAAAUUGUAAUUGCAUGAUGGAGCAGAGCAAGGUUACAAGGCUGUUAAUUCUCUGCUGGAAAACAAACUUAAAUCAGAGCUGGAGCAUAACGCAGGAUACAGAAGAAAAUGGUUGCUAUAUGCUGAAAGCAGCCUUAAAUCUGAGGAUUAUGUAGAAAACAGCAAUUAAUGUCAAAGUAUAUCAUAGUUUUACAGAUUUAGAAUUUAUCAAGUGUUGUAAAUUCAUGACAAUUUUGCUUGUAAGGUCCAACUGGCUGAAUCACAGGAUGAUUUAUACUUUUUAUUAAAUUGGUUUAACAGAUGGAUGCUGUCACAAAUCAGAGCCAAACACAAAUUAUUUAUUUCAGAAAGAGAGGAACUCUGAGAAGUAAGACUAUAUUUUCUUGUGAGGCUUUUAGAUAAAUGAUUAUGAAAAUCUGGAAAUGUCCUCGAUAAAUUUAUGACUCACGGAGCUAGAGUUGAACUGUUGUCUGAUUUCGCCUGAAAAGCACUGAGAUCUGUUGUCAGUAAACUACAAAUGUGAAAGAUCUUGGGUAUGCCACCAGUGCAUAUCCUCUAUUUAGAAUUGUGCUGCAGUAAUUGGAGGAUAUAAAAGAAGGGAAAGGUCAGAUGUCAAUCAAAACAUACAUAUAUGCAGUUUUUUUCAUGUAUUCAUAAAUUUGCACCUACUUUAGCUUUAGAAUCAUGGUAAUUUAUUUCUGUAAGGUUUAUAUUGUAAUUCAGGUGUCUUCUUUGGUCUCUUGUCUUUGUAGAAAUAAUGGUGUCUUGUAAGUCUAUGCUUUACACAGUUUGACGCAUCAAAUCAAGGUACAUCAACCCAAACAAAACUUUGUUGUUGUAUUAUUAGGUGUCAGGUUAUUUGAACACAUAUCUGUAUUGUUACGGAAGGACAAUAGUUGUUUUAAAGUUGAAAGAAUAUUUUUUGAAUUCAGUAAUUGGUGUUGGGGUUCUUGCUACAGUCUUCUGAAGUCCUUUGAAGAGUCUAGUCUGUGUGUUUUGGAGUCAGGUAUAAAAAGCAGUGAAAAAAAAGAAGAAAUCUCAGGAGCAGCAGGAAACCUAUUGGUAUUUAAAAUACUGCUGCCGAUCAAGUCUUGAAAAUAAAACAGGCUUUGAAAUGUUACUUUUUUCACGUUUGAAGAGUCGGUCUUAAGUUUCACAGAGUUUCAGUAAACUUUUUGACUGUAAACUUGCAAAACAUGACACUCAAGUGUGAAAAAAUGCAGUUUCGUGAGUGUCCACUUGAAGUUGACCAAAAUCCUUCCAUCAAUCCACCCGGCUGUCCAUCUGUCCACUUAGCUUUUAAUCUUGAUUACAAGCCCAAUUAAAAAAUAUUUUCUGACAUGUGAAAUAGUGAGGAAGAACUACUGAAAAGUAUUAGGGCCACAAGAAGAGAAAAAAUAAUAAUAAUUAGAGGAGGAAGAAUUUUUAAUUUCAAUUUCGAGAUUAAAGUCGGAAUUUAAAAAUGUUGAAAGUUCAACUUAAUUCAUGUCGACUUUAAUCUCGAAAUUUCGACUUUUAAUCUCAGAAUUUUAAUUUUUUUAAACUCGAAAUUUCAACAUUAUUUAUAACAUUUCGACAUUUUGUAAUCUUGAAAUUUCAACCUUAUUCUUAUUCACAACAUUUCGUAAUCUCGAAGUUUUGACUUUAUUGACAAAAUUUUGAUUUUUUAAAUCUCAAAAUUUCGACUUUAAUCUCCUUCCUGUAAUCUUUUUUUUUUCUUCUGUUCAUGUGGCCCUAAUCCUGUUUUGUAAAAAAAUAGAUAUUAUUGGUUUGUGAAUUUAUUUAAAUCCAAUUCUGAUUAUUUAAAAAAAGUCAAUAGUAAUCAUAUCAAAUGCUGAGACUGAAAAAAUGUUGCUCUGUAAAGAAUAAAGUCAAUUUUUGAUUCCAUAGAGAACUCAAGCUUUUGCCCUUUGUAUAUCUUUUUGAGGUCCUUCAGUAUAUGCUGCUCCUUAGUCGUGGGUUAACCUACUUUAAUGAGCUUUUCCUGUUACCAGCAUUAGUCUAUGGCAUCUGCCUAUUUGACACUUCUACCCAAGUGUCCUUGCUAAAAUGAUAAUAACAGUACCAACAUGUUCUUACUGCCCAGGAACGCUGCGUGCUGCAGUGUUCAGUUUUCACACAUGCAUUUUUAUCUUCCCUGUGGCUAUGAAUAAAACAGAGAGCACCUGUCAGCAAGCAGAUGUUGAAGCUGACAGCUUAAGGCAAGAUGGAAGAUUAUGGUGGGCAAGAGUAAUAAAAAAACUGUGAGUGAGCCAAAACAUGAUUAAUAUAAUUAGCUGUUUCUGUUGAAGUGAACUCUGAUCAUUAAUCAGAGGACGGCUGUUUGUGUUCAGAGAUAACCAGGUCAGGGUGACAGACCUCCCAAAGGGUUUUUCACUGGGCUGCAGAGGAUGCUAACAAGCAAAACAUCCUUCCUACAUGCGUAGCUAUUUGGCUCUCUGAUAUCUAUAUGUUGAGUGCUGAGAUUAGACAGUUCAAGUUUGUUUUCCAGCAUAACAUAUGAGCUUCAUGAGCUUUUAAAUAUGCUAAAAGGUAUGCAACUUUGAUGUUACAAAAAAGGUGAAGAGGUCCUGCUCAUUAGCUGCCGAUUUGAAACACCACAAGAGCAGCAGUGCAGAAUUGUAGAUAAUAGCUAUUAAGGUUUAAUAAGGACACCUGUUUUUUUUUUGCAGAGCCCCAAUUAAUUGUGCAGUUUUAAUCUUUAAUCAUUAUAUAUCCUGAGUCCUGUUAUGUUUGCUAAACUUUUUUAAAUAUAGACACAAUGCAAUACUUACUGUAAAAUAGUUUACUCUCUGUUUUCAAUAAAUAUCCUGACUUCAGCAGAAGUGUUAUCCUGUCUAUGGGACAAUCCAGAAUCAGUCCAAAGAACAUUUGGCAUGUGUACUAAGCAUCGUCUUGGGAAUGCAGAAUUUGAAAGUGGUGUUCUUUAAUUGUUGGUAGAGUAACAAAGGGGAAAAAAAAAAUCAUAAAAGAUACAUCUAUCAUAAUAAAGCAAAGCUAGUUUUCCUUGUAAACAUGCAAUGAAACCCAACCAAACAAAUGUAAACUCGUACCCUGGCGUUGUGACCCUUGUCUAAGACAUUUUAAUAUCUGCCCUGCUCCUCUGAUUUGCUAGGGUUUUGAUUAAAGAAGGGGUAUUGUGCAUUUUGUUUUCAGACUCUAUAUCAGCUUUACAGGAUUUUCAGAUUUUAAAAAAUGCCCUGUGUUGCUCACUCUGAUGUAUAGACGGGUUUCUUGUGUACAAACAAUACUAGGUGUGCGCGCAACCAUGGGACAAAAGCCUGCUUCGGAGUGAACUGAUAUCAAUGAAGACGCUGUAUUGUUUGCAAGUUCUCUCUGACACAAUUGCAAUAAAAUGUCAUAUCAUCGAAAAAUCCCUUUGUAUUUUAUUGCAUCAAAAUCAGAAAAACACCUGCUGAAAUAUCCAUGAAUGUCACUCAAUUUACCAGGCUGUGACGUUGUUUUAGAUGUUUCUAAUAUCAGGAGCAGGGUCGUAAUGUUUGCGGAUUGUUUGUUUUGCUGAUUCGUGCAGUUCGCAGCACAACAGCUCCUUCUCAUUUUGUUUCUUUGUUGACUCCACCAGUAAACAAAUAUGAAAUGUCCCACUUUCAACCUCAAGGCUGCGUGCGCAUACCUGCGACGACACUGUACAGAACACUUUGUUUUAGCUGCUGUCUCUUUAAGACCCACUGUCCACAAGCCUACUUUCCUCUGAUUGGCCACCUCUCCUAAGACAUACUGUAGGCUCCACCUCCUCUAUUAUGUGGGUGUCACCUCACACGCUGUUGGAGGCAGGCCGUUCCUGCGCUCUAUUUUAGUGAGUCUCGCGUUUUCUGGCAAUGUUUUCUUUCUGAGAAGUUUACAUCUAUUUUCUAGGAUUAUGACAAUAAACGUUUACCUUGUGAUUUGAAGCUUUACUGUAACUUUGCAUUUUUUGACAGGAUUUAAAUUACAAGAUAACACCACAAAGAGCUCCCAGCAUGUGGUAAUUAACACACCGGCAUAGCAUGUGUCACCUCUCAGGCUCAGCAGAUGUAAGAUGGUGCUAUCCACAUGUUACAGUAAUAACUAGCUCGUGUGUAAAACGCUGUUGCAGAAACAGUCCAACAUACUGGUUCUGAUGUUGAAUUAAGUGGUGGGCACUGUGGGAGAAUACUGUUGACACAUGACCUCUUGAGCUUUAGCCUCUUUAUGUGCUUAUAGUUUUAUUUCCCCAGUCAUGUUAAAUUACACUGCUGGUAAUUUUAGUUCCUGAUCUCUGUGAUAUUAGAGGGAAAAGGACUAGGGUUAUACAAUUUCUGUGAUUACUGCCCGACCCAUAGCCUUUAAAAACAAAGUUGGUUGUUAUCUGAAUCCAUAACAAACCAAAGAACAAAGGAGACAAGAAAAAAAAAAGAACUGGGAAACCAAAUCAGACUGAGAAGUGAUGUUUACUCUAAGCCCAAUUAGUGGAUGAGCGUAAGAGCAUUUUGAGAGGAAAAUUGGGGCCCAGUAUUACAGCUGGAGCCAAGAGGCAGGCAUAGCAUGAUAUCCAGCAGCAAAUUGGUGCCCUGUUGGCUUAGACUGGGUGCACGAGGGAGGAGUGUUAAAAGAGGUUGUAUGUGGUAGAGUCAAAGGUGAGAAAGAAGUUUGCAGUCAACAAACAGGAGUCUUCAAAUGCCCCAAAGUGCUUCGCCAUGACUCACAACUGCCAGCAAAGUUAACUAAAACACUGAAUCACGAUAUGUCUGUACUUAAGUGUUUUUUUCCACCACACCAAUGUCCCAGGUUUCUGAGACUGCCUUCAACACCCUGGAAUCAAUCUGAUGUCAGCGUCAGCAAGCUGAUGGACAGCACUGACAGCUCACAGAUGCAAACUUAGCAAAGGUUAGUUAUGUUAGUCCUUACAAACAAAAUGACAGGUAAACAAUAUGUCAAGAACCCAUUUUAUUCAAGCUAAACAUGUAAAUGUGGCAAGCUGAUCUUGAGGUUCAACACACACACAAAAAAACAAAAAAAAAUAAUAAUGAUAAUUAUCAUGGUUAUCAUCCCUCUUUCUGCAGCAUGGAACCAGAGGAACCAGAGGCUUCAUGUUGCAGCCAUAUUCAGUUGAGCCUUCCCUCUGGACCACACCCCAGCAUCAUGACUUUAAUCUUUUCCAGAAUCCACUCCUAACUUAAAGUAGAAAACGUC